UCACCGGGUUAAAACUUGCAGA
Molecule: microRNA, 22 nt
Filed under: Caenorhabditis brenneri
Lineage: Eukaryota; Metazoa; Nematoda; Chromadorea; Rhabditida; Rhabditidae
Description: cbn-miR-35n
Gene: cbn-miR-35n
Source: miRBase by way of RNAcentral